Molecule: RNA transcript, 1228 nt
Organism: Gossypium raimondii (Peruvian cotton)
Lineage: Eukaryota; Viridiplantae; Streptophyta; Magnoliopsida; Malvales; Malvaceae
Gene name: 5'-3' exoribonuclease 3-like
Exons: 5
Source: RefSeq, a predicted model, not a curated record
UCCCCCCUGAAGCCCCUAAUUUUCCCCCUAAAAAUAAUCACCUCAGCACACUAUUACUCCCUCAGCUCUGCGCGAAAUCCUAAAGCAAUGCCUCCCAAAGUAGCUAAAUCCCUAGAAACAACGAACUCGCCUUCAACCUUCUUCUUCAAACCAGUUCCCCCUCUCUCUCUUGCUCUCUCUUUGCUUUUUUGCCUGAUUUUUUUUGUUUUUUUCUUAGAUGAGUCCCUGGAUGGUUGGAGUCUUAUUGUUUCAACAAGGCAAGUGGGUGUUCCAGAUCCAUCAUUGAAGCUGGAAAUACAUAUUUCCAGGAUUUUAGGCAGUUUUUCUUGGUCCUUUGUUUCGUAGACAUCUUCAAUCCAUGAAUUCUUGAACAUAUGGGCCCUUAAGGAGUAUCUGGAAUAUGAGAUGAGAAUCCCCAAUCCUCCUUUUGAAAUUGACUUGGAACGCGUUGUGGAUGAUUUUAUAUUCAUAUGCUUCUUUGUUGGCAAUGAUUUCUUACCUCAUAUGCCUACACUCGAGAUUCGUGAGAUUUGUAUGUUGAAGAUGCAAUCAACUUGUUAAUGGCAGUAUACAAGAAGGAAUUUACAUCAUUUGGUGGUUAUUUGACUGAUGGAAGCAAGCCUAAUUUGAGCAGGGUAGAGCAUUUUAUCCAAGCUGUGGGGUCCUAUGAAGAUAAAAUAUUCAACAAAAGAGCACAGUUGCAUCAGACUUUCAGCAGCAUGAUCCCAAAAUUGUCAAGCAAAUUAGCCAAAUACGGGUGAAUCACCUUGGACUAAAUUUGACCAAAGAUGAUCUGCAAAACGUGGUUGAUUUAAUGGAGCCAUAUGGUCAAAUAAGCAAUGGAAUAGAAUAUCUAAAUCCUCCCACUGAUGUCAGUAACUAACUUGCUUGUCAUUUUAAAUAUGCAAGUCAAUUGCUAUUAAUAAUUUUCUGUUGGAUUCUUUUUGGACUGAAAAAUAAUUUCUGGGGAUAGUCUAAGAAUCUUAAAUUUUAUAGAAAGCCAAUAAAGUGCUUGCUGGACGAAAUGUGGUGAUUAAUUGAAUUGCAAGGUCAUACAUGCUGUUAAUUUUUUAAGAGCUGAUAAAUGGGUAUGACAUAGUGCUCAUAAAUGUUCUAAGGAUGUCUUUAGAUGAAUGAAAUUGUUUGAUAGUUUGAAGUUAUAAAUCUUUGUAUUGAUUUUUCUCAACAAUCUGAAGCCUGUUAUACUUAGCAAAUUUUUCUGUGAGAA